GACAGAGGUGCCAAGCGUUAGGCGGAAUCACUGGGCUUAAAGCGUGUGUAGGCGGAUCGUUAAGUGUCUUGUGAAAUCCCACGGCUCAACCGUGGAGCUGCUCGACAUACUGGCGAUCUUGAGCAACCUAGGGGCGAGCGGAACAAAUGGUGGAGCGGUGAAAUGCGUAGAUAUCAUUUGGAACGCCAAUGGUGAAAACAGCUCGCUGGGGGUUUGCUGACGCUGAGACACGAAAGCCAGGGGAGCGAACGGG
This 253-nucleotide ribosomal RNA is filed under the name uncultured bacterium. RNAcentral describes it as "partial 16S ribosomal RNA". It matches the Rfam family "Bacterial small subunit ribosomal RNA", at positions 524 to 776 of the family's 1533-position model. The record is from RNAcentral.